RNAcentral lists this non-coding RNA (172 nucleotides) under Candidatus Pelethosoma merdigallinarum. RNAcentral describes it as "6S RNA". It matches the Rfam family "6S / SsrS RNA". Rfam says of the family: E. coli 6S RNA was the first non coding RNA to be sequenced, but its function was unknown until recently. It consists of 184 nucleotides that fold into an extended hairpin structure with a large single-stranded internal bulge. The record is from RNAcentral. Lineage: Bacteria; Bacillati; Mycoplasmatota.
AAGUGUCUAAAAGAUCGGUUUUCUGUUAAGAAAAACCAACAUUUAUACGAUAAGGGAAUCUAAUUAAUUUGCGGUGUUGAAUGCUUAAUCUUUUAAGAAUCCUAAAGCAAAUUAUGUGAUGCCCACCUGGGAGACAGGUUUUGUCGUUAAAGAGACCACUUUUGGACGAUAA